CGGUUAGACUAAAAGAUCUAGUUAUAUUUUUAAGGUAAAAAGGUGGUUAAAUACUAUAUAUAAGCAGUUUUUUAAUUUACUAUACAAAAGUGAAAUUUGAAUAUAGGUAAAUAAAUCAAAAAUAACUACUAUAAUUGAGUCCACUAUAACUUUGAGGGAAACUGGGAUUUGAUACCCCAUUAUUCUUAGUUGUAAAUAGAUAUUAAAUUUACCAGAGCACUAUGAACACUAAAAGUUUAAAACUCAAAGAGCUUGGCGGUGUUUUAGACCACUUAGGGGAACCUGUCUCAUAAUCGAUAAUCCACGAUAUACCUAACCUUUUAUUGCAACUUCAGUUUGUACACCGUUGUCAUCAGGUAACUUUUUAGAAAAACUAAGUUAGCAACAAAAUUUAUAAUAAAUUUAAAUGUCAAAUCAAGGUGCAGCCAAUGAAAAGGAGAGGAUGGGUUACAAUUAAAAUUUAUAAAAUGAAUCGAACAAUGAAAUUUGAUCGUGAAGGAGGACUUAAAAGUAAGAUUAUAUAUAAAAAUAGUUUGAAUUAGGCUCUGAAAUGUGUACAAAUUGCCC
Molecule: ribosomal RNA, 567 nt
Filed under: Bivetia jayana
Lineage: Eukaryota; Metazoa; Mollusca; Gastropoda; Neogastropoda; Cancellariidae
Description: partial 12S ribosomal RNA
Source: RNAcentral